AUUGAACGCUGGCGGCAGGCCUAACACAUGCAAGUCGAGCGGAUGAAGGGAGCUUGCUCCUGGAUUCAGCGGCGGACGGGUGAGUAAUGCCUAGGAAUCUGCCUGGUAGUGGGGGAUAACGUCCGGAAACGGGCGCUAAUACCGCAUACGUCCUGAGGGAGAAAGUAGGGGAUCUUCGGACCUCACGCUAUCAGAUGAGCCUAGGUCGGAUUAGCUAGUUGGUGGGGUAAAGGCCUACCAAGGCGACGAUCCGUAACUGGUCUGAGAGGAUGAUCAGUCGCACUGGAACUGAGACACGGUCCAGACUCCUACGGGAGGCAGCAGUGGGGAAUAUUGGACAAAGGGCGAAAGCCUGAUCCAGCCAUGCCGCGUGUGUGAAGAAGGUCUUCGGAUUGUAAAGCACUUUAAGUUGGGAGGAAGGGCAGUAAGUUAAUACCUUGCUGUUUUGACGUUACCAACAGAAUAAGCACCGGCUAACUUCGUG
Molecule: ribosomal RNA, 484 nt
Filed under: uncultured bacterium
Lineage: Bacteria
Description: partial 16S ribosomal RNA
Rfam family: Bacterial small subunit ribosomal RNA
Source: RNAcentral